This 212-nucleotide ribosomal RNA is filed under the name Aspergillus ustus. Its description in RNAcentral is "partial 28S rRNA". The record is from RNAcentral. Lineage: Eukaryota; Fungi; Ascomycota; Eurotiomycetes; Eurotiales; Aspergillaceae.
GACCAGACUCGGCCCCGGGGUUCAGCCAGCACUCGUGCUGGUGUACUUCCCCGGGGGCGGGCCAGCGUCGGUUUGGGCGGCCGGUCAAAGGCCCCAGGAAUGUGUCGCCCUCCGGGGCGUCUUAUAGCCUGGGGUGCAAUGCGGCCAGCCCGGACCGAGGAACGCGCUUCGGCACGGACGCUGGCGUAAUGGUCGCAAACGACCCGUCUUGA